Molecule: long non-coding RNA, 2637 nt
Filed under: Astyanax mexicanus (Mexican tetra)
Lineage: Eukaryota; Metazoa; Chordata; Actinopteri; Characiformes; Acestrorhamphidae
Description: lncRNA (ENSAMXG00005001369.1)
Source: RNAcentral
AUGUUAUGGUUUUGCAAAAUUUGCGACUUCAGGGCAUCAAAACGUUUAGAGCUCUUAAAGCAUUAUAGGUUAAAACACCUACACAGCAAUCAAGGCCACUCACUACCCUGCUUGUACUCUAACUGUCAUUGUUCGUUUAAAGGUUGGGGUGCUCUUCGCGCACAUUUGUCUAGAGACCAUACACAAAGUGAACAUUUAGGGCAAAAUGUUUUUUCUUGUCUGAUAUGUAAUUCAUGUUUUCACACAGAGAGGCAAUAUUUUGAACAUCUUGGAGCUCAUCUGAAAAAGCACGAAACUGUUAACUGUGUUUUUAAAGAUUGUGACUAUAGUACUAAUAUAUAUUCAACCUUUGCCUCGCAUAAAAGUAGGAAGCACAAUCCUCACUGCCUUGAAGAUUUUAAACAAAUUGUAUUACAAACAUAUUCUUGUCAGGCAACAGAAGACAAUUUGUUGUUAGAAGAAAGUGAAGUUGCAUCUGAAAAACCAUUAGUCAGUGAGAGUGAAGAUGUGGGUAAAGUCAUUGUUGAUCAGCUUUGUUCCUUAUUUCUUAAAUUAGACUGCAUUUUCAAUGUGCCGAGUAGAUGUAUAGAUGAGAUUGUAGACGAGCUUCGGUUUAUUACCUGUACAGCAUCUGCACCCGUUGUAAGUAACGUUGUCCGUGACACGUUAGAAAAAUAUAACUGCACUGUUGAAGAAUUGGCAGUAACAGAUUUGGUAAAUGGCAUUUGUGAGUUAAAUCCUGUAAGUGCAGCCUUAGGUGAAGAAGGUCCUCUUGGCACAGCAUACCAGAGAAAUAAGUAUGUAAAGGAACUUUUCUCUAUUGUUGAACCAUUAGAGUAUAUCCUUGAUGCAAAAGAGGGAAAAACAUUCCAAUAUGUACCAAUUUUGCAGUCCUUGUCACAAAUUUUGAAAAAUAGUGACAUUCAGGAGAAAGUUUUUAGAGAAAGACCUUGUUCUUCUUGUCGAUAUAAUAGUUUUCGUGAUGGUUCCCACUUCCAGGAAAACCAGUUUUUAUCUGGAGAGGAGCUAAGACUUUCAAUACUACUGUACUCUGAUGAUUUUGAAAUAUGUAAUCCGUUAGGAACCUCUCGUAAGAAGCACAAAGUAACCAGUGUUUACUGGGUUUUGGCUGAUAUUCCGUCUGUAUUAAGGUCUACAUUAUCAUCAAUUUAUGUGGCUGUUUUGUGCAAGGCAGAUGACAUAAAGAAAUUUGGCUAUCCUCGAGUGCUAGAGCCAUUGUUAAAUGAUUUGAAAAGCUUUGAAGAAGAGGGACUUUUUGUACCCUGUUUGGGAAAAAUCAUAAAGGGCACAGUAUUUUCUGUGAUUGCUGAUAACCUUGGAGCCCACUCAGUUGGGGGGUUUAUUGAAAGUUUCAGUGCAUCAUACAUUUGCAGAUUUUGUAUUGGAGAGCGGUCCCAGUUUCAGGAGCUUGAAGUCAGAACUGGAGCAUUUCCCAGCAGAACAAAACACCACCAUCAGUUAGAUGUUGAAGCAGCACUGGCUAGUAACACCCAUAGCCAUGGCGUUAAGAGGCACUGUGCCAUUUCAGAAAGGCUGAGUCAUUUUCAUGUGACAACAGGUUACCCACCUGAUAUAUUGCAUGAUUUACUGGAGGGUAUUGUACCUGUAGAACUGGCGUUGUGCUUGGACAUCUUGAUUAAGAAAAAGUAUUUCUCUCUUGAAGAGCUUAACUGCAUCAUCCAGCGGUUUCCAUAUAAGUGGAAAGACAGGACAAACUGUCCCCAAGUUAUACCACCAACAUUUGCCUUGCGUAAAACCAUUGGUGGAAACGCACACGAAAAUUGGUGUCUACUGAGGCUGUUACCAUUUAUGAUUGGCCCCAAAAUACCUGAAGAGGAAGAGACAUGGCAGUUGUUGAUGACACUCAAAGAUGUUGUUGAGUUGGUGAUGUCCCCUGCCCAUACAGAUGAAAGUAUUGGCCACUUAGAUAGCCUAAUUGCUGAGCAUAGAUCUAGAUUUAUCAGUGCUUUUCCUAAGGAGAAAUUGAUUCCAAAACACCAUUUUGUAGAGCAUUAUCCAGGACUUAUUAAAGCUUUUGGCCCUCUAGUGUCCUUAUGGACAAUGAGGUUUGAAGCAAAGCACCACUUCUUUAAGAAGAUAGUGAGACACACUAACUGCUUCCGUAACAUUUUGAAAACUAUGGCAAGAAAACACCAGUGCAUGAUUGCAUACCAUCUCCACGGAUUAAAUGUAAAAAAACGUGCCGUUUCUGUAUCAAGCGUAUCAAGAGUUCCACUACAGGUAGUACAUGAAAACAUACAAGAAUUCAUAUUGCAGAAGUUUCCUGAAGAAGCAGCUGUUCAUUUCACAAGCAAAGUAGAAUUUCAGGGCACCAGUUACGGUAUUGGCAUGAUGCUGGUAUAUAGAUCCACAGGUGGGUUGCCUGACUUUGCAGAAAUACUGCAAAUUAUUGUUGUUCAAGACAGCUUAGUUUUUGUAGUUAAAUUGCAUAGUGCGUGGUACUUUGAACAUUUUAGAUGUUUUAAGCUGGAGUCCACAAGCAUAGUCAAGGUAAUAGACCAGUCAGAACUUGCUGACACACACCCAUUGGCUGCCUAUGCUGUGGAAGGCAAUCGAAUGGUUUCUCUGAAACACCACAUCUGCUUAUCAAACUAG